UUGACUGUGAGCAAAUCAAAAUAUUAAAUUCUUCUUUAUUCUUUGCAAUUUUAUCAUAAAAAAACAACACAUUCACUUUCCCUAAGUUUUUCUUUUUUUCUUUUUUUUUCUUUUUUACAUCCAUAACAUAAAUUAUAAAAAUUCAACACUAAACAAAAAUUACAUUAAACAAUUUAAAAUUUACAAAAUAGCCUCUAAAACUCCAGGAAUUGCAGAGAAGGCCUACUGCACCACCGGAAUAGUGUCAGGCAGACUUCUGGAGCCGCAAGAUAGUGGCGGCGCGUCUGCUCCAAAACGGACAGCAGGGGAGAUUCGAAACAGCUUCCUCCCUGCUUCCUCACCGGCGGUGACCUGCACAAAUAGCAAAAUCCCAAUAACUAGCUGAUUUUAAUUUUUCUUUUGUGCAGAUCCGUUCUCGAAUCUGUUGCUCUGUUCUGGUCUUGUUGUUCUUUCCUUCUUCUUCAAGCGGCAGAUCUGGCGACUGAGGAAGGAGUGCUGGAGGCUGGAGCUGCAGGUGUAGUCGUGCAUAGGGAGGAGCUGCUGCGGGGCCGACUUUGCUUCGGGAGGCAGAAGACGGGCAGAUCUGUGGUGUCGGCCAGGUGAGGGAGGCCGACAGGUCGGCUGAGAGAGGAGAGGGACGGUGCUGCUGCUGUUCGGCCGCCGCUGGGGGCCGAAUGAAGGAGAGACCUGGCGAUGGAAAUGAGAGAGUGAAGGGAUUCUGUUCUGUCAAAGAGAAGGGGCGGCUUCUCUUUGAUCUUGGUCGGAUUCUCUAAGUCGGCUGAGGGGAGAAGGGGAGAGUGAAGGGGAGAUGGGGGAGUGCAGAGGAGGCUGCUCUGGUAUGGGAGAAGAAGCUGGAAAUAAGGGAUGUGGGAGAAGGAAGGAAAAUGAGGGCUGGUCUUCUUCUCAGUCGGCUCUAGGGAGAACCAAAGGACGUGAGGGGUUGGUCUUGGUUUUUGGCUGAGGAGAAGGGGAGAGUGAAGGGGAGAUGGUAUGGUGAGCUGCGGUUGGAACUGGGGGAAAGAAAAAAAAGCUUCUGGAUGAUGGGGGGGGGGGCUUGGUGUGAAAGAGAUAGAAUUAGGGUUUCUUUUUUUUUUUCAAAAUUGCCCCCCACUUUUUUUGUGUGUGUUGAAAGCUACUAUUUGUAGGCAAAAUAUUGUUUGGUCCCCAAACUUUGUCCCUCGACUUCUUCUUUUUUGUAAAUUUUGAUUUUUUUUUUGUAUUUUUUGAAAACGAGCAAUAUCAUUGAUUUUAAAAAUGAUGCAUGAAAAGUAGAACGCGUUCAAAAGACCUUAGAAAAUUUAAAUUCUUUUAAGACGACGCUGAAAAUGCUAAAAACGAUGCAAAUAUAUUAAAAAUAUAUUUUUUGGAUUUUCAUUGUUUUUUCGCUAUUUUUUUAUUUUUCGAAAAUUUAUCAAAAAGAUGGGUAAAAAUUGGGUAAGAACACUCAUUUCUGCAUAAUUAAAGGGUUUAAAUACUUAAAACAAGGAAUUCAAAUAGCUACAGUUAACGAAAUAAUAGUUAAUAGCUAUGGACCAACCCUUCCAAUGGAAUGAUGCCAGCAAAUCCUCCUGCAUGAGGCACGUCUCUUGCAUGAUUCAUGUCAUAAACCAUGGAUUCUUGAUAGGAACACGUAGUGACCUUCUUGGUGGUUUAUCAAAAGAGCUAUAGACAUUCCAUUCUCAGAGUAGAGAAGCAGCAAAGACAAUCCUUACAUGAUCCCACUUCCAACAGAGAAUAUUAAUUAACUAGAAAUCGAAACAUUGCUUAAGUCAUAAUCAGAGGUGAAGGCGAUAAGUAGGAGUGGCGCACAGAUGGUUUGCUCUCGGGGUUACAAGACCAAACGCCUCAGUCAUGUCCACUUCCUCCCGCAACAUAUUUUUACGAAGCUCCCAAUCAAAGCAAUGCACCAGCUGUGCCACAAUUUGCAGAUCCAUGGUUAGUCCCAAAUGCAUUCCAGGGCAGCCCCUGCGCCCAGCCCCGAAGGGGAGAAGCUGGAAAUCGCGUCCACGAACAUCUAUGUUACUCCCAGCAAACCUCUCUGGAAUAAACUUAUUUGAAUCAGUCCAAGCACUUUGCUCGCGUCCAAUAGCCCAAACGUUUACAAUAACACGUGUUUUUUGCGGGAUUAGGAAGCCAUCUAUGGUGCAAUCUUCCAUUGACUCGUGAGGGAUAAGUAGAGGUGCCACUGGAUGGAGCCUGAAAGCUUCCUUUAUAACCAUGUGCAAGUACUCCAAGCCCUCCAAGUCUGAUUCUUCCACCAUUCUAUCCAUGCCUAUUUUCUCUUCCAGCUCUUUCUGGACUUUCUUCAUUACUCUUGGAUGCUUGAUGAGCUCGGAGAGAGUCCACUCAAUUGCUGUGGCUGAGGUGUCCAUUGAGCCUACAAGCAUGUCCUGAAAGAGAAAGGUACAGAUUUAAGGAUAAUCAUGUGAUUUAUGUGCUGCUUACUAACAGUUAUUUUAAUUCUAUGCAUUCUUACCAUGAUUAUGGCUUUGAUGUUGUCUCGAACAAUACGAUACUCAGUUUCUUCAGAUCCCAAGAAGUCCAACAUGACAUCAACAAAAUCUUUGGUUCUGUUUUCAUCCUUGAAUUGAAUGUGCUCAUCAAUAAUCUUCUCAAAGAAGUCAUCAAAUACCUUGCCUACGGCCUUCAUGCGCUUUGUAAGACCCUGAAGGUCAAGUGGCGCAAUUGGAGGGAUGUAAUCACCGAAGUUAAAACUUGCUGCUAAACGCAUGCCCUCAUGAAUCACUGGUUUGAACCCCUUCUCAUGAAAUUCCUUUUCCAUGUAUUUCUUUCCUAAAACCAUCCUACAACUGAUGUCAGCGCUUAGAGAUGAGACCUUUGGCACUAAGAUCAACAGCAACACGCUCACGAGAAGCAUCUUUAAUGUAGUCAAUCAAGAGGUCAAGCUCUUCUUUCCUUGAGGACAUGAAAGAAAUUAUUUUAUGGUUGCUAAGCAACUCAAGGGUACAAUCUUGCGCACGUUGCGCCAAUAAGAGCCAUAUGGAGCAAAUGAUAAGCUCUUACCGUAAGAGAUAUGCUUCGCAGCCUCAUUUGGUGGCCUAUUAGCAAACACGAGGUCAUGGGUCUUAAGAAUCAAUUCGGCAGCCCGAGGCGAUGAGACAACUACAGCAGGCACCAAGCCUAACCGCAUAUACAUGAUAGGGCCAUACUUGUUUGCUAGUUGAUGCUAGUCUUGAUGAGGGAACUUCCCUAGCAAAUGUAAGCUACCAAAUAUAGGAAACCCUAUUGGACCAGGGGGCAACUUGCUAUCCUUGAUCUUUCUUUUCGACAGCCAAGCUCGGAGGAAGAAAGCGAGCGCAAUCAAGGCUAGAGUGGUUAAUAUCCAAGCCAUGCUGUGUCUGAUUUAUUAAGGUUGGGUUCUAUGUGCCAGUGGUGAGCUAUAGCUAGCUUUUCUUAGUGAAAGCAAACCUAAAUCCAACUCUUGCUUCAUAAAGAGAAGACGCUACACAUAGUCGUAACUAGGGAGAUGAUAACAGGAAGAAGACAAACUGGGGAUAAGUUCAAUGUCUUUGUUUGUAUCGCUUCUUGUUUUUUAUUUUGAAGAAAGGGAUCAAUUGUGGAUAUCUGAACUCAUUUACUUGUCUCAAUUUGGUUCCACCAAUUCUACUAGUAGGAGGAAAUCAAUCAAGAAAAAGACAUCAAUGUUAGUAUAAAGGUGUGGUUUCUUGCGUGUAAGAGUGCGACAUAGACACAUGGAUAAUAACUGUUUUUAUAUUUUAAAAGUGUUUAAUAAAAGAUUUAAUUUUUUUUUAUUUUAAAUUAAUAUUUUUUGAUGUUUUUAUAUUAUUUUAAUAUGCUGAUAUAAAAAAUGAUUUAAAAAAAUAUUAUUUUAAUAUAUUUCUAAAUGAAAAAUAUUUUGAAAAGCAAUUGCUACCACACUCCCUAACAUUCUGAAAAUUUUUAACAGGAUCUACAGGUAGACUGUUUCAAGGUAGUGAUAUUUUAGCUUCUUCUAGUCGAUAAAAUUUGUUUGUAGGGCUAAUCUUAUCUCUAAUGGAAGAUUCUAUUAAGAAGAGUUAAAUUUCUUUUUCUUUUUCUUUUUCUUUGAUUUAUUUUUAAUCAUAUCCUUCCAAGUGAAAAAGACAGAUUGAGACCCUUAUAACAUUAUUAUAACAGCUAGGACAGAAACAAGCUUAAUCCCAAAAAUUAUUGUUGGUGCGCUUGUCGUGAUUGAUUAUUUAUACAAACCUAACUGUUGGCCAUCGUCAAACCAUUAAUCACUGUUGAUGGAUGAAGAUUCAUCAAAACAUUUUUAAUAUUUAAUAGAAAGAUAUUUACUUUUAGCAUAAGCCCAUAAUAAUCAUCAACCCAAUUAAUAGGCUCAUAUCUACCACCUUGUGGGCUCGGGCUGCAUACCCGAGCCCAACACCUUGUUGAGGGCUCGAGCGCACAACGCGAGCCCAAUGUUGAGUGCGAGCGCAACAUCUUUUGGGCUCGAGUGGUGUUCCCGAGCCCAAUCCCAAGGGUUGUGACUGGUCAUUUUGGGUCAUUGUCUGUUUUUUUAGCCCAUUAACAUGGCUUGGUUUUCUUGGACAUAGUGAGUGUCUUAGACCCAUUUUACUUCUUCCUUCAUUAAUGCAUGUGGAAGACAUAUCUUCCCUUAUUAAUGCAUUUGUAACAGAUAUUUAUUUCUUAUAAAUGUUAUCAUUGUAAAUUUAUUCUUCAGUCCUCCACUCAAUAAGAAGCCAAAGUUCAAGGAUUAUAAAUACCCCUUGAACUAUCUAGGUAAAAGGUUCAAGACUUUACAUUCAAAAGACAUAUAUAUCCAACACAAAAAUCACUUUGUUCUUAGAAUUUAAGGCUCUCAAGCAUAUUUAUUACUCAUUUUCUCUAUAAGAUUAUCUAUUUUACCAUCGGAUGAUCUUUAAAUCCCCCAAAAGAGAACUUUUUAUAGGUAUCCAGAGGCAUUUAUCAAGAGAUAAUUUCCUUCAUUUUGAAGAAAAAGAGUCAUUUGAAUGUACAUUUGAUUAACAUAUAAUUCAGCCACCAAAAAACCUUAUUCCAAAGCACAUCGGAUUUUUAAACAUCAUCAAUUGGCAUCGUUUGUAGGGAAACAAUUAAAAAAACCAUCAAUUUUUUUGUUCUUUUUUAAUUGAUUUUUUUUUAAUUUCACCUUUCAACAACUCAUAACCCGGAUCGCAAGUUUGGUAGAUUGACAUGGGAUGACACGGUUUAUUUUUUUGGAUUCUUUUUAAUUUUUUUUUUCAAUUUCACCUUCCAACAACUCAUUCUUUUUAUUUAGUUUUUUCUUUAUAAUAUUAAGUUGUUUGGGAAUUGAGUUUCAUAAUGUUUUUUCUAUUUUCUUUUGGUUGUAUUAUCCUUAUCUCAUGGAUUUAGUUUUUUUUCCCUCGAUUUCAAUAUUUAAUAUUGAAUUUGUUUGGGGAUUUAGUUUCAUAACGAGGAUAUUGAUUGGCAUAGAUAUAUAGAAAAUUUUGACAGGAUUAAAAUUGCUCAGUCAACUACUAUAUACGGAAUUUUUGGCUCUCCCGACAUCAAUAAGAGGGUCAUGCAAUGAGGAGCUGAAUGAAAAUUGACUCUGUCACCAUCUUGCUGAUAGACGCUGUGCUGUAACUUUGUCUUCGUGGGAUUGAAAUUGAACCUAACCUUGAUUUCAAGGUCUUUUAAUAGUCUUUUUUAUCCUUGCAGAAAGCAAUCUAGGGUUGUUCUUCAUCUACUUAAGAUGCCUCAGUCAUGAAAUGAAACUCGAAGUCAGAAUUGACAUAUCAAAAGCAUGUUGAGAAUGAGCUUGCAAAUGUGUUGUUAGAAAUGAAAUCAUGGCAGACAUCGCAGCAUUAAUUUGUGGUGUUGAUUUUUGUUCAUUUGCAAUGAAUUUUUAAUUAUCUGCCUUCUUUUGUUUACACAAUCUUGUCGUCUAACAAAUAUUUUGUAUCAAAUAUUUUGUGGGAUUUAAGCUUUAGUUGAACUCAGUUGUCAAAAUGGGUUCACUGCCUUCAAAAUGGAUUUAUGCAUCUGAGCAUUGACUCGUACACGUCUAAGUGAACUGCAAUGUCACACAUAGAUACAUUUGUUCUAUCUUUUCAGGUGCAAGCUGCUAUGGCAACUUAUCACUUUGUUGAGUAUUGCACUUCAAAUAUGUUAGAACCUCAAUUUGAUGAGAUUAUCAGUAAAUUGCUCAGAUGCCUACAGGUGAGGUAGCAUGUGAUCUUUCUAAUUGUGUGUGCAUUCAUUCACAGCAUGUGAAAUACCUUUUUGAAUAUUGCUUCCUGUGGAGGAUCUAGCAUGUUUUUUCUUUUUUUCGAGCUUUCCUUGAUAAAUAUAAAAACUCACAUGCACAUGCAUAAUUGUACAAAAAGAAGCCCGAGUCCAUAUGCAACUAUAUCUUGUCUCUGAUCUGCAGUCUUUAUGUUGAUUUUGCAUUUGCACAAUCCAGAAAGGGAAACAACUAUUGAAACUGUGGGCCUUAUCAGCAUUAGCAGCAAUUGCUAAGUCAUCACAGGUACCAGUCAAGAGUCAAGAGUUGCUUGUGGCCUAUUUUAAUUUUUCUGGUUUUUUAUAUUAAUUAUUGUACUUUUGCAGGACCGGUUUCUAGAGUAUUACAGAACAGUUAUGCCUUACCUAAAAGUUGUGAUGACGAAAGCAGAAGGGGAAUCUAACAGCAAGCUCCUUUCUGCAACUGUUUCGUGCAUUACAGCAAUUUGGACGGUUUUCGGAAAGGACAAGUUCGGUGACGAUACUCAACAGGUAAUAAUCAGUACUGGAAAUGUAAGAUGCGGCUUUCGGAUAGGGUAGUAAGGGGUUUUGAUAUAAAAGAUUCUCGAGUUCUAGUUAUUUGCUUGUUAAUCCUGCUGGUGUACCAAAAAAAGAUGUAAUUUGCCGGCAUAAAUAAGUUAUAACAUUUAUUUAGACAAAGAAAACUGUUUCUGUUUAUCUUAAAACAGUAAUCUGUUUAUAGUUCUUUACAUACUGUACUGAAUUUGGAUUCAUGGAUGGGUUCAGAAGUCUCUUGAAGCCACCCAAAUCAGAUAUGUUUUAGAGUUUGCAAGACAUAUUGACCUAAGUACUUUUUAGUAUAAUGUUUUUGUUAGAACACAUUCAUACAGUAGCAUUAUUGACCCUUUUUUUUCUUAUGCAAGGUUGUGCAACUUCUUGUUUCCACACCCAUAUCAAAUCUGGAGAUACAUGACCCAAUGAGAAUUGAAGGGUUAAGAGUAUGUUAAUAGUAGUUGUACAGUUUCCACUGAAAAAAAAAAUUGGUUCUUUACUAUAACCUUGUUCUUCACUGAAACAUGUAAGAUACUGCAGGCAUGGGGCAGACUUUGCAAAUGCUUAGGCCACAAGUUCCAGCCUUAUAUGGAAGUAGCCAUUCCUUGUUUGCUUCAAUCUGCGCGGCUCACUUUGCCUGAUGAUGCUAACGUUGAAGAAUCGGAUAUGAAAGGUUAGUCUUCUUAUUAGAAAUCUUAAAAAUUACAAGAGAAACAGAUUGAUGAGCUGAAAAAUAAAUGGCAGAACAUGAAUGUUAUUCAUAUAUAUGCAAUUCUGAUUUUCACAUAUAAGCGAUGGAUGAAGUGAUUAAUCAUUCUAAAUCAACUUCACUCUGAAAUAUUGAAUAUGUGUCUUGCAAACUCUAAAAUUAGUUCAAUAAUUUUGUCAAAACUUGGAACCCACGUAAUAAGUACAGGAUCAAGUAUAAACCCUGCUAUUUUUGGAUAUAUAUUUUUUUUAUGGCUGAUGUAUCAAUUUUCUGUGUGGAACACUAACAAGAAACCGGAUGAUUCAAAUCAAAACUGAGACUCUGGAGGAGAAAGCCACAGCUUGUGUAUCGUUGCGUGAUUGCGUUGCUGAACUCAAAAGAAGGCAUUGAUUUAUGGAUUGAUGAGGUGGUUAAAUUUCUAACACAUAAUAGUUUCCAUAGCUUGACCUAUAUGAGCAAAUGUGAGCAAAAUUUAGAAUGGCUGAGCAUCUGUGCAGGUUGCUGAAACUUUAGUUCCACUUCUCAAUUUUUACGAGCAUGCUGAGGUUAGAAUAGCUGCUGUAUUAGGUAAUUAAAAGCUAAUGUAGUCUCCAAUAAUUACUUUUAUGCAUUUCUUAACCAUCUCCAAUAAUCACAAUUUCCUUUCUGCUUUGUAACUAGCCAUGCCUGAAAUACUGAAAUCGUCGAAAGCAGCAAUAUUUGAGAAAAGGCUUCUUAAGAAAUCUCCCUUUGAAAAGUUGUGUUCUGAUAUAAUACCAGCUUUGGUUGAAGCACUGGUUAAGGUUAUCCUGUAAUUUAUAAUUAAUAUUAUUAUUAUUGAAUUGAAUCAGAUACCUUGUGAUUAUGAGAAAUCUUUAACUACUACUAGUAUUGUUUGUAGGAAGAAGUCAUUAAAAUUAGUGCAGUAAUGUUGGAUUCCUUGGAGGAUUGCUUGGAGGUCUGUAGCAUUUUUUUCCCCUUAAUGUGUUAAUUGGUCCACUUAUAAGAACAUAAAUAUCAGUCUGAGAAAUUUCUUUAUUCUAUAUGUUGUUAAGAAAGACUACGCAUUCUCUUCCUAUGAAAAGAACUGCAUUUUAUGCGUCAAAUAAAAAGAUAUAGAUAAUCAUGCAUCUGCUAACUCGGGCCACAGCUCAGGGGAAAAGAAAAGGAGUCAUGGCUCAAAAUUAGUUGCUUGGUGUUAGAUAUUCUGAUUUAAAAUUAGUUUUAGCGUUCUACUUGGUCUAGAAUAUUCCCAGCAUGGAAUGAAGAGGAGACUGAUCGUUCCAACUUUUGCUCAUCUCUCCGGCAUGAAAAAUCUUAAAUUGCUCCAUAUGCGAAUACCCACUUUUAAUCUCCAUGGUGUGUAUAAAUUGUUAUCUGACAGUUGAGCAUGGACUCUGAUGACCAGGAAGCUUAUAUGGCUCCAUCCUUAGAUUUGACUGGAUUACUUUCCUCAUGCUGAAUAGUCUAGGUCUCUAGGGAAGAAUUGAUGCUAGCUCUUAUCUUAUCAGCACAAACUUCUCUCUUUCAGUUAUCGGGACCUGUUUUAAAUAUAGAUCAGAUCAAGCGCUUCUUGUCUGUAAUAAUGGACGUUCUCGACACUAGCAUAUCCAUUCCCAAAGGUGAUGAAGCGUCAGAGCAAGGAGAAAAAGUUAGUAAGAAAGUAAGUGAUUGUAUCACUUUUCACCGGAUGAUUGACUCCGCAACCGCUUGGCUUGCUUUCAUUUCAUAAGGAUAUUAUAGUAAGUGUUUUUUCUUAUCACAUAUUUGUUUCUUCAUAAAGGUUUGUGCUUGCUUGAAGAUUUUCAUGAAAACUUACAAGGGUUCCUUGUUGCAAUUCUUCGACCAGCUUUUAUCACGUAUGGAACAUAUGUGGGUAGGUUUCUUUCUUUAAGUCUUCCAUUUUUUUACCCUCUCUUACAUAAGCUCAGUUUACUGUGAUUCCCCUGUUAGUGACCAAUUAGUAUGUUGAUGUCUCAUGCUUAGUGAGCAGCAUUCGCAUCUGUAUAAAAGGUUGAACGGCCAUGUCCAUUUUUAAAAUUGGCCUUUUCUUGUAAUGUAGGUUUAGAUGUCAUUCCACUCUUAGGUGAGAAAUUUCUGGCAUGAAAAUCUUCAGUAUUAUGUUGAAAGUUGUUUUCCUUAAAUCAUAUUGCUUGAGUACGAGGCAUGGGAAUAGAAAACUGGAUAUGUUGAAGAAGGUGCGUGUAGAGGUUGAUUCUCUAGUCAAUUGUAAUGCUCCAUCUGAUAAAGAAUGGGAAAAUUACCAGUGCACACUUUUUUACUCUUUGAAUAACAUAUUGUGAAUAUGAGCCCAUGGAGGUUCAGAAACAGGGAGACAGAGAACUGAAAAAUUGAGAGAUCUCUGCUCCAUUUAUUGUCUUGCCGCAGGUUAAGGAUAAAACAGUUAAAGAAAGAAAAAUUGCCUUGAAGAUUUUCGCUGAUGUUGUAGAGGAAUUCCGAGAAGAAGCUUUGAAGUAAGCCUAGUCCUUUUUAAUUUGGUUAGAGAAGGUAAAUUUAAUGCACUAUAAUACCAAAUUGAUAAAAAGCAGGUUCUGUGAGAGUGAACUCUUGUUGCUAUUUAAAGCUUGCAAUGAUGAUGAACCAGAAGUUCAAGAGGUCUGUUUAUAACCCAGCCUAGCGAUGACAGUGAUGUUGUGCACCUCGUAAAUAGAGAAAAUCUCUUAUUCAGAACAUGAAUUAUUGCAGGUUGCUGCACAUGGAAUUGGUGUUGCUGCAGCCUUCGGUGGAUCUAUCUUCAAACCUCUGGUUGGAGGUAGCUUGUCUAUUCUUCAUGUAGUCCUCUUAUUACCUGCGUGCAGUAUUUAUACAAUAAAUCCCAUUGGUUUUAUUUGGCAGAAGCAGUUUCUGCUCUAAAUGCUAACAUAAGCGAUUCAAUGGCAUUGCACCGAGAUUACAUAAUGGCCCAUGAUGCUGCUGUUACAGCUCUCGAACAAAUAUACCUAUUCCACAAGGACAGAAUCAAUGCAAGUGAGGUGCAUUGCUACUCUUGCUUUUUAUAUUUUGUAUAUUUAAGUAGUUUUGAAUUUGGUCUAGAAGUACAGAAUAGUGAUUUCAUUUUGCAAUUCAAGCAAUCUAGCUAGCUAAAAGACUAUUUCUUGUAACUUCAAUUGAGGGGUAACGUGAGGUGGUAACAUGGCAGAAGUAGUCUACCAUUACUUUGACAUCUUUCCACCUACCAAAACUAAAAUUUUUGAUGAUUUUUUCCAGCUUCUUCAAUAUUCCAAAGUUUUGGAAACAUGUUUUCAAAAUCUAGAAGGGCUGGUAACACAGACUAAUUUAUUUUGUUGGCUUUACAUAGCAGAAAUGGCUCGGGUGUAGGGUUGUCAAUUUUGUAUCUCUGAAGAGAUUCAGUAUGAUAUUUGUGUCUGGUGCUAAAGCUGAAGCAACUCUCCCCCAUUCUGGUUUUUGACUGCAAUAACAGCCAAGAGCUAUAUUAUCAAGGUGUAAGAAAUAUUCAGGUGUAAGUGUGCUCUUACUGUCACAGAUGGUAGUAAGGAUUAUAAAAUCACAUCUGUAACUUAUUGUAACCCAUAGACCAAUCUGAAAUGUCUACAAAGGAACGUGGUCUAAUAUUUUCAAUCUUCUAAGUUAUCUAAUGUAAUUUACCGAAAAGUUGCUGUUGAGAUUUUCUACAGGUCCCAGAGGGAGUUUUCUACAGCUCUCAGUCUGUGGAAGCAAUUUGAUACUAUAUUUAUGCUACCAGUAAUACGAAUAGUUGUAAACUUUAUGCUAGAAGUUCCAGCAGAGUUUUUCAUGCUGAAUUUUGCUAGAAAUGCUAAUUUUAUGAUUGGAUAUUUUCUACUUGUAUGCAAGAUCUCUCCGUAGGCAAGUGAUUUGUUAUGUAAAAUCUUCCUUCCUCCUAUCCUUUUCAAAUUGGAUUGUGCUAAUUAUUUCAUCAACUUCCAUUUCUAUCAUGUUUCUUCUUCCUUCUAUUCUACAGACUCUUACAACAUUUAUUUCUAAUCUACUUAGCAGGUGUUUAGUACAUGGUUAAGCCAUUUGCCAAUAAAGAACAAUCUACUGGAAGUCAAAAUUGCACAUGAUCUGCUGUGUUCAAUAGUUGAGAUGCAAGCCAUAAGAAAUUUAUUUUACCAUAUGAAACUGGUGUAACUAUAAUUGUCAGAAUCAACUGUUUGUUGCAUUUGUUAUUCUCUCAGAUCAGAGGACGAACUUCUUCGCUAAGAUUUUGCUUGUCUUCCCAAAAUCAUCGCUGCUUUUGCAGAGGUAAUUUCUCUCUCUGACCUGUUGUGGCUAAUACUCGUAAUAUCUCUCAGUUUUUCCACCUCCAUAAGAUUUAACACUUUUCACUUUCUCUAAGUAGUUCCUAUAAGAUCCAGAGUCAUAAAAAUAGUAUAUUGCUUGUGAAAUCUUUCCAGUCUCUGGCCUUUGGAAAGACAUCAGGUAUAUGGUACAUUUUGCAUUCAAGUACAAUUUUACAAGACUUGGCACCAAAAGAGUCUUUAUAUACUAGUCAAAAUACACAUAACAUAGUCUUCACUCGUCGUUAAGUUUCUGCAAGUUCUGAAAACGAAAUACUAAUUUCUGCUGUGAAUACUUUCCUUGCAGAUACUAUGGGCUGAUGAUGAAACUUUAGCAACAGAGGAAACCGUCAACCGAGUGAUUAAACAGUUGAGGGACUUUAAGAGCAGGUUACCAUCAAACAUCUGGUCAUCUAUCCUGUCAACCUUGGAACCCUCUCGUCAGAAUGUUGUGCAACUUUCAUUGUCAUCUUAGUUCUUUAUUCCUGGUCAUCAUGGAGUCCCUUGAGAUUGAGCAAGGAUUUGUCAUGGAUACUCCUGUUUGAGCCGUAUUAAACAAUAUAAAGCACUUGUUUAGUGAAACAUUCUUUUUCUGGUAAAUCUUCUCUUCCUUUUUCUCACUACAAACGGUUGCAUUAAACUCAAUCCAAGAAAGUCAAAGACGGCAACCACCUCCUGCAGUCACCGCCAGCCACCAGCUGUCAGCCGCCUUCACAAAUCGCCAGUCACAUUCACACCACCGCCAACUAAGAUUUUUUCUUACUUUCAAUUUGUGUAUAAAUAGGCAGCUAAGUUUAUGUUACUGUGUGUGGAAAUAUAAGAGACAAACACUAAAGAGAAAGAGAGAGUGUGUAUUAAGAGCUUUUGUUUAUUUUGUAAGUUUCUUGUUGUUGAAAUAAAACAGUGUGUUUUAUCCUCUCUGGGUGUUUCAAAGCCACCACCAGUGGUUUAUCCCACCAACAAUUGGUAUCACAGCCUUGUUCUUAACAAAAACAAAGGCGUUGUUGGGAUACAUCCGUUUUUUCAAAGUUGUCAAAAACACAUUUUGAUUAUACCACGGUGUAGGGUUCAUCAAUCCCAACUCAACGGUGCAAAAUCAGCUUCAUCGAAGCCAGAGGUAGCCCACACGCACCUCCUGAAAUUUCGUCAUUGUAGCCCACGCGCCCAGAGGAAGAAGACGACUGAGCAACACGCGCACCAUAUUUGAGCCACGCCGAGCCGCCUAAUCCGCCGCCAAGCCAAGCCGCUAGCCGAGCCAAAAGAAUAUUCCCCAGAAUAUUCCUGGUUCAACCCCAGCGAACCGCCCGACGUCCAGAAUCGGUUUCCUGACCAGUUCAGCCCAAUUUUGACCCAUUUUAAACAAAGUCAGACCGGUUCCCUACUGUUUUGAGCAUUCUGGACCCAUCUACAAUGUUUGUUUUGCCAAAUUCAACUCCCAAAAGGUGAUUUAGUCAUUCAAAUAGCAAAAUGACUACAGAAAAUACACAAACACUCAUCCUGAAGUUGACCAAAGACAACUAUGAUAGUUGGUGUAUCAGAUUGAAGGCAUUUCUUGGUUCACAAGAGUGUAUAGAGAUUGUGCAAUAUGGUUAUGACGAACCAGAGUCCAAAGAAGCAGAAGAUGCUCUACAAGAGGUCGAGAAGCAAGUCCUCAAAGCUAAUAGAAAGAAAGACAACAAAGCAAAGACCAUCAUCUAUCAAGGUCUUGAUGAAGCAAUAUUUGAGAUCAUUGCUUUUGCAGAAACAUCAAAAUAGAUAUGGGAGGCUCUCCAACAAAAAUACAAAGGUGCUAAUAGAAUCAAGAAGAUUUGUCUCCAAUGUUUGCGAGGUGAAUUUGAAUUAUUACAAAUGAAGUCCUCGGAAUCUAUUUCUGAUUAUCACACAAGAAUUAUGGUGAUAGUCAAUCAGAUGAGAAGAAAUGGAGAAGCCCUUACAGAUGCUCGGAUUACUGAGAAAAUUUUGAGAUCCCUAGAUCUAAAAUUUGAUUUUGUUGUUUUCGCUAUUGAAGAGUCCAAAGAAGUGGACAAGUUGAUGGUGGAUGAGCUUAUGAGUUCUUUGCAAGCUCAUGAGCAAAAGAUUGUGAAAAGAAAUGGAGAUAAGGCAAUUGAGCAUGCCUUACAAGCAAAGUUGUCUCUCAAAGACAUAUAUGAGCAAGGGGAGACUUCAACAAGUGGCUACCACUUGGGGAAGAGGUCAACAAAGACAAGGAGGAUUUCAGCGAUUUCAAGGAAGAGGAUCUUGGAAUACAGGAUUUAGAGGAAGAGGUGGUAGAAACACCACUAGAGGAGGUCGAGGACAAUAAGCAUUCACUCCUAGAGGAAAAGGAGGCAGUUACAAUAACCGUGACAAGAGGAAUAUCCGGUGUUAUAGUUGCAAUCAAUUUGGGCACUAUAACAUUGAAUGUCGAAGGAAAGCUCCAUUAGAGGUACGUGAACAAGCCAACUACGCAGAGGAGGAUGUCGUCAUCAGAGGAUCAACUGCAUUAUUUGUCCAACAAGGACUUGGCGAGAAUCAAGAGAAUAUUUGGUAUCUAGAUUCUGGAGCCAGCAAUCACAUGUGUGGCGAACGGGAUCUAUUUGGUGAUUUAGAUGAGACCAUAAAAGGUCUAGUCACAUUUGGAGAUACCUCAAAAGUACCAUUUAAAGGUAAAGGCAACAUCCCAAUCAAGUUGAAGAAUGGCGAUCACGGCUACAUCGCAGAUGUUUACUAUGUUCCAGCCAUAAGGCACAACUUACUGAGUGUAGGUCAACUUAUGGAGAAAGAUUAUACUCUUUUCAUGAAGAAUUGUCAUCUGACAAUCAAAUACUAUAAUGGGAGAUUAAUUGCCUAUGUGAAGAUGUCCAAGAAUAGGAUGUUUCCUUUAAACAUCUAAUAUGAUGCAGCAAAGUGUUUGAGUGUCAUCACCAACAAUGAAGAGUGGCUUUGGCACCUAAGACUUGGACAUCUGAAUUUCACAAGUCUGAAGAUGCUAGCAAGCAAGAAUAUGGUCAAAGGUAUGCCCCACAUUGAUCAUCCAGAUGAGAUCUGUGAGAGUUGUGUCCUCAGCAAACAUCAUAGAUCUAGUUUUACCAAAGAAGUCAACUGGAAAGCAAAUAAACCACUAGAGUUAGUGCACAGAGAUGUGUGUGGUCCCAUAAAGCCUAUGUCAACUUGACAAAAUAGGUACUUCCUUACUUUCAUUGAUGAUUUUAACAGAAAGAUAUGGAUAUACUUUUUGAAGAAGAAGUCAGAAGUGUUGAAUUGUUUUAAAGAUUUUAAAGGGGGGAUUUGUUAUAUUAAACUCAUUCCAAGAAAGUCAAAGACGACAACCACCACUUGCAAUCACCGCCUGCAGUCACCGCCAGCCACCUUCUCAAACUGCCAGCCACCAGCUGUCAGCCGCCUUCACAAAUCGCCAGUCGCAUUCACACCACCGCCAACUAAGAUUUUUUCCUACUUUCAAUUUGUGUAUAAAUAGACAGCUAAGUUUAUGUUACUGUGUGUGGAAAUAUAAGAGAGAAACACUAGAGAGAAAGAGAGGGUGUGUAUUAAGAGCUUUUGUUUAUUUUGUAAGUUUAUUGUUGUUGAAAUAAAACAGUGUGUUUUAUCCCCUCUGAGUGUUUCAAAGCCACCACCAGUGGUUUCUCCCACCAACACAAACAAGUUUUUUAGUGGAAGGAAGGUGAUUUUUUCUUAUAAAUAAUAGGAAAUAAAGUCGGCAAUUAAACAGAUAGUAACAAAUAACAACAAUUUAAGUCAAUCUCAUUGAAAUCUGCAAUAUAUAAGGUGAAAAGAUUCCUAGUUGGUUCAGGAAUCCGAAGCUACCUAGGUUUUAGAUCUUGUAUAACUAAGUGUUCCUCUCAUGUUAUAAAGUCUCAUGGCUCUCUCCUUCUCUGUCACUCGAUCAUCUCAAUCUCCCCACUCUCAGUUUUUGUUUCAACUACUAUUGGUUAGAGAUAUAGGAAGACUUUGGUGACUUGCGUUUCCAUCUUACUCCACUCGACAUAGUUAAACUAGGAGAUGCUUCCAUGAUAUAUGACAAUUUCAGCGUUAAGGUUGAAGCCUCUUUCAUGCCUCCAAUACUUGACGAAGAGGAUCUCGAAGAAUACGAAUCAAAGGUUUUUGAUCACUACCAUAAAAUUGAUAAAUGCAAACGGGAAAUAUCAAUGAAAUUUUUUUAUUGGUAUAUUACAAUGACCUUUACUAACAGAAUUUUUCAUCCCAGCAUCCAUCGAUAAACACCAACAGAAAAAAUCUCCUGGUAUAUACUAAGUGAAUUGCAGUGGGAAAAUAAAGAAUGAAAAAAAAAGUCAAAUAGUACGAUGACGUGUAACUUUUAUAGAUGACAUUACCAACAGAAAUAACCCAAUGGUAGAGUACGUCUCGUCCGUAAAUAUGCCGAUGGAAAAAUUUCGUCGGUAUAUACCGAGAGAAUUAUGGAGGGUAUUAUAGUGAGAUUCAAAAAAUGCAAAUUGAACGGUGAUGUGGCAUUUUUACCGAUAGAGUUAUUGAUGGUGCUUUCACAAUGACGUGUUUAAUAAUUUUUGAAAAAAUAAUUUCAUUUAACGAAUGCAAUUUUAGGUUUAUAAACAUUGAGGCUGCAAGAACAAUAACAUCGACUUUUAAAUCAUCGAUAGAAAUUUCAUUAUUUCAAUGGAGCCAGGUUUCCAAACAUCCUGAAUGGAAACCGUAGGUCAAUGCAUGGUUUUCAAGGUUCAAGGGUUAAUAUUAACUUAAAUAUUUUUUGUGUUAAUUUGGUUAGUUUAUUGAAAAUACUAAGAUUUUCCUUUUAUAAAUUUUUAUUUCAUGGGAAAAUUUGAAUGGGAGAGAGCUGAUAAUAAUAUUGUUAUGAGGGUUUGGGAGAAUCACGCUUCAAUUAGGUAAGAUCAAAUUCAGGAUAAUUUUUUUUAUUCCAAAUAUUAAAAUUUUAUUUUUUAUUUACUAACAAAUAAUUAAUUUAUACCAUAUAUGUUAUGUGAUUUUUUAUACGAAGCACAAAAGAAAGCUAAAAAAUAUGCGAAAGAAAGAGAACUUCUAGGUUAGAAUGAUGUGGCAGUUUAAAAAGAUUUUAGAACGCUGUACGUUUUAAAGGCUAUAUGGGUGCAAUACAUUUAGCACGUGGUGUCUGCACUUUUCACAUGACGGUCACAGUCUGGUGUGGAAAAUCAGAACCGGCAUGUUCAUGGCUUCAUUACCACACACAUCGGCGACUCUGUUUCAUUUGUUUCACAUGCGAAGUGGAUGGUAGGAUUUUUGUUUACUACAUCAAUAUUUUUAUUAGUUUUUUUAUAAAUAUAUUUAAUUAAUGAUAUUUUUAUCUUACAGGCUACGGUUCUUAGACGCGAACCAAGCUCGAUGGAGCUUUUUGUUAAAACACAAGUGCGGAGUGAUGACCGCUAAAAAGAGAUGCAGGAGUUCAUAGAUAACCGAGCUCAGCACUUUGUGGUUUGUUGGUUUUCAACCAUUUUUGUUCUUAAGUUAUUAUUUCCUUGAAUUUGAUGAAUUUAUUUUUUCUUUCCAGGAUACAUAUAAUAGCCGGUUGAAAGAGAGAUACGAGAAAGAACCUUUAACACAUCCGGAUCUUGAUCCGAAUUUGUGGUUGGAGGUAGGAUCGUCCGGUGGACCCGAUAAAAAUUAGGUAUACGGACUCUUUAACACUACAGUCGAGAACUUAUGGACUAUCCGUAGUGUUUCGAUCAUUGGAUGCUCGCAAUCGAUAUUUAGACCAACGAGUACAGGCUCAAAUGACCCAUCUUAAUGAAAAAUAUGAACUACUCACUACUGAUUAUGAAGAACUUCGUCGAUCGGUAAUGAUGAUGAGAUCAUAGAUGAGUGGUGCAUGUGCACCCCCUAAUUGGCCCCACGGUCUCGGCGACAACCAGCCUUCUGAUCCUCCUUCUCCUCAAGCACCACUUCUAUUUUAGAUUUAUUGUAUUUGAAAGUACAAAUGUUUAAAUUUAUAAUAAAUAUUUUAUUUUUAUAUUAUUUUAAUUAUUUUUCUACUUUUGUUCAAUAUAUUUUUAAAAUAUUACCGACAGGGUUACCGAUGAAAUAACUUUGUCGAUAUAUUCUAGAGAGAGUUGGAAAAGAAUUAUUGCAGAUGUCACUACUACUGUUAACUCACCGACGAAAUUACAAAUGGUAUUUUAUUAAUGAUAUGUUAUAUUUAUCGAUGGAUAUACCGACGGACAAAUAGAAACACCGAUGGCAUUACAUAUAGUUUUCCUAACAGUGAUAUGUUAAAUUUACCAAUGGAGAUACCGAUAGAAUGAAGCAUGUAAAUAUUUUUGGUGUGCUUUGUUCAUCUGUAAAUCCAUCGGUAUAUUUAUUACCGACAGACCAUAAAUUACCGAUGAGAGUUUUUUCGAUAGACUGUUUUCGUCCGUGAACCCGUCGGUAAUAUACGUACUGACGAACUGUAAAUGUAAAUACCAACAGAAAUGCAAAUGGAAAGAGGAAGAUGUCUUCAUUGAUCGUGAUCGGUUAUUGAAUGAUGACCAAGAAACAUCAAGAUCAAUUAUCCGUGAGAUUAUUGGUGAUUUGAAUAUCCCUACCAGGGCAUUCAUGAUUGACAAGAUAUUAACUUGUGCUCGGCAAUGGCUAUGGAUAAUCUUUACUUGAGUCGUAAGGUUUUGUAUACGAGGGUAAGAAUUGAUGUCCCAGCAGGUUUUGAGUCUUCAGAUGAUGAUACUGGGGCUGAGUUAAACUUAGCGCCUGCUACUAAAUCAUCCAAUGAGGCUUUGGAGGUUAUUAAAGUUGAAGAAGGCUAUGCUAAGCAGCCGUGUGCAGUUUGCUUCGAGGAACUUUUGAUUGGUGGUGAAGCAAUUAUGUUGCUUGUGGUUGGAGGCAGGAUCAUCUGGUAGGUCCGAUAGAAAUAGGGUGUACGAGACUCUCUAACACUACGCCCGAGAACUUGUGGGCAACUCAUGGUGUUUUGAUUGUUGGAUGCUCGCAAUAGAUUUUGAGCACUCAAACUCUAAAGUUCAUGGAUGUUAGACCAACGAGUACACACUUAGGCGACCCAUCUUAAUAAAAAAUAUAAACAACUCACUGCUGAUUAUGAUGAACUCUGCCGAUUGGUAAUGGAAAUGAGAUCACAGAUGGGUGGUAUAUGUACACCUCCUAAUUGGCCUCACGGUCCCAGCAACAACGAGCUUCCUCCUCCUUCUCUAGCUCCACCUCUAUUUUAGAUUUAUUAUAUUUGAACGUACAAAUGUUUACAUUUUUAAUAAAUAUUUUAAGUUAUUUUAAUUAUUUUUCUACUUAUAUUCAAUAUAUUUUAAAAAUAUUACUGACGAGGUUACCAAUGAAACAACUCUGUCGGUAUAUUCCAGAGAGAGUUGGAAAAGAAUUGUUGUAAAUGUCACUGCUACUGUUAACUCACCAACGGAAUUACAAAUUGUCAAAUAACCAUCUUAACCCAAUAGCUUAAGCUAUUAGGUGAAGUCCCAGAAUAUGAUUUAUAUUAUUCUCUAACGCACCCCUCAAGUGAAAACUCUUUGGGCUUGAAACUUGCACAGGCCCACAUUACCUUUGUGCUUAAUUUUUUAUCAAAUAAAUGGGGAUGGUGAGAUUCGAACUCGAGACCACUUGAUCAUCAAGGCUCUGAUACCAUGUCAAAUAAUCAUCUCAACCCAAUAGCUUAAGCUAUUAGGUGAAGUCCCAGGAUAUGAUUUAUAUUAUUCUCUAACACAGAUGGUAUUUUAUCGGUGAUAUGUUAUAUUUAUCGAUAGAUAUACCGACGGACAAAUAAAAAUAUCAUUGACAAUACAUACGGUUUUCAUGUUGGUGAUAUGUUAAAUUUACCAAUGGAGAUACCGACGGAGUGAAGCAAGUAAUUUUAUUUUAUUUUUUGCGCGCUUUGUCCGUCUGUAAAUCCAUUAGUAUAUUUAUUACUGACAGACCAUAAAUUACCGAUAAGAGUUUUUUCAAUGGACUGUUUCUGUUUAUAAGCCUGUCGGUAAUAUACAUAUCGACGGACUAUGAGUACAAAUGCUCAGCCAAUGGCUAUGGAUAAUCUUUACUUGAGUCGUAAGGUUUUGUAUACGAGGGUAAGAAUUGAUGUCCCAGCAGGUUUUGAGUCUUCAGAUGAUGAUACUGGGGCUGAGUUAAACUUAGCGCCUGCUACUAAAUCAUCCAAUGAGGUUUGGAGGUUAUUAAAGUUGAAGAAGGCUAUGCUAAGCAGCCGUGUGCAGUUUGCUUCGAGGAACUUUUGAUUGGUGGUAAAGCAAUUCUGUUGCCUUGUUCCCAUGUUUAUCAUUGUGGGUGCAUUCGUAAAUGGUUUAAAAUGAUUAAUUGAUUCAUGAAUGGUUAAUUUUGUUCCCAUGUUUUUCCUGAACGAUUAGGGUUUGUAAUCUCUUAUAAGUUUUAGAAUUUAUUAGUUCAAGGAAUGAGAGAUCUUGAAGUUCAAUCUGAUUUGAUUGAGCUUAUGAUCAUUGAUAUCAUUAUGAGUCCAAACUCCAAACUGAUUUGGAUUUUUUAUAUACAUAAUUUUCUUAAUAAUUUUGUCUAAAACUGAUAGCUAGCUUCAGCAUAUAUCAGUAUAUCAGUAUAUGCUCGGCUAAUUGCGGCUCUUUUUUGGUUAUGUGCCUAGCUAUAUUGUUUCCUCUUAUGUUUUAUUGCCAAUGAAUCUCUAUCCGUUGUGGAAAAACGGCUUGAGUUCCUACACUUCCUCCGCCUUUUCUCUAUCAAAUUGUCUUCUGGCUGGGACUGAUGGUUUUGGAGGCCAUAGUCACACCUAGUUGAGAAAUAGCUAGAUUUGCUUCUGAUUUAUUAACACUUAUUAAGCAUAAAGCAAACAAUCAUGCUGUGUCUAUGAAUCACUAGUGCUCUGUAUAAAAAAAGUCAUCAAGUCUAACGGUGCUUUUAUAUAUAUUCUUCUUCCAUCGGUCGGACAGAGAAUAGCUAAUCUAGUUUUCCAAAAGAAAUGGCAUAUACCUCAUUUAUUUGCUCUUAAAAAGAUGGUAAAAUCCUUUAAAGAGUGUGAUGAACAAGAAAGCACACAGAAUCCCUGAAGGAGCAAUUAAUUUAGCAGGGAACAUUAUUUUGAUCUAAAACAAAAUACUGAGACAUUUAGUUUCAUUUGUUAAGGCGAUAUGUAGGAAUAGAUACUAGAUGCUUGGACCUGCAGAGUACGAGACCAAACUCUUCUGACAUGUCCACUUCAGAUGGCAAUAUUCCAUUUGGAAGUUCCCAAUCAAAGCAAUGCACCAUCUGCGCAAGCACCAGUCGCACCAUAGUUAGCCCCAAUUGCAUUCCAGGGCAGCUUCUGCGGCCAGUGCCGAAUGGAAUAAGCUGGAAGUCUCGGCCCCGAACAUCUAUGUCACUGCCAACAAACCUCUCUGGGUAAAACUUUUCUGCAUCGGUCCAAGCUUUUGGGUCUCGACCAAUGGCCCAUACAUUGAUUAUAACAUGUGAUUUCUUUGGUAUGUGGAAGUCAUUCACAACGCAGUCCUCCGUGGCCUCAUGAGGGAUCAUCAAAGGACCCGCUGGAUGAAGCCGCAAGGUUUCCUUCACAACCAUGUCUAGGUACUCCAACCUCUCCAAGUCUGAUUCUUCUACCAUCCUUUGCUUUCCCACUACUUCUUCUAAUUCUUUUUGCAGUUUCUUCAUAACCCGUGGAUUUUUAAUCAGUUCUGAGAAUGCCCAGUCAAUCACAGUUGCUGAAGUGUCCAUUGAACCCACAAGCAUGUCCUGCAAAAUGUCAUGUGCAAGAGCAUAAAGAUAUUUAGAUUAGUAAUGUGCUACCAUUAUUGUGUAGUUAAUUUAACUCUUUCAUCAAGAUUAAAAGAUAAAAUGUUCAUAUACCAGCAUUGUGGCUUUCAUACAGCCUUGAUCAACAAGGUACUCGUUUUCUUCGGAUUUCAUGAAACUUAGCAUGACAUCAACAAAGUCCUUGUUUUUGCCCUUCUCCUGGUAUUGGACAUGCUCAUCAAUAAUCUUGUCAAGAAAGACAUCUAACACUUUGGAAAUAGCCUUCAUGCGUUUUGUCAGUCCCUGGAGAUCAAGAGCUGCGAUUUGAGGAAUGUAAUCUCCCAAGUGUGGAGCUGCUGAUAAAUGCAUGACCUCUUGCAUCACAGAUUUGAAUCCCCUCUCAUCAAGAUCCUCAUCUAAAUAUUUCUUCCCAAACACCAUUCUACAGCUCAUGUCAGCACUGAGGGACGAAACCUUGGCACUCAGAUCGACAGCAACACGUUCCUGUGCAGCUUCUUGAAUGUACUUAAUCAACAGAUCAAGCUCCUCCAUUCUCAUUGGCUUGAAAGAUGUAAUUUUCAAGCUACUAAGCAACUCUACUGUGCACAUCUUACGGAUGUUGCGCCAAUACGAACCGUAUUGUGCAAAAGCCAUGCCUUUUUGUCCAUAAGAGAUGUACCUUGCAGACUCGUGAGGUGGUCUACCAGCAAAAACAAGGUCAUGGGUCUUAAGAAAUAAUUCGGCAGCUUCAGGCGAAGAGACAACAAUGGUCGGCACCAGGCCUAACCGCAGAUGCAUGAUGGGGCCAUAUUUUUGAGCAAGCUGAUGAAGAGCUCGAUGAGGAAACUUCCCUAACAAAUGAAGACUUCCAAAAAUUGGAAACCCUCUUGGACCAGGCGGCAGUCUCUUAUUCUUGGUGCUUAACCAUUGGAGCAGAAAGAUAAGUGCAACAAAGGCUAGAGAAGUCCAAAUCCAAGCCAUGGAUGUGAUUCUAUAGCUUGCUGUUCUUGAAGUGUAUAAAAUCUCUACCCUUUUAUUUACUUGGAUAUUGUGACUUAGGAAUCGAAAGCCUGAAGGAAAAACAAACAGGGGAGGUAAGUUCAACGUUGUUGUUGUUUGUUGUUUUGAUCCAACUUUGACUUGUGUAACUAAGAUCGAUCGUGACAUACUAUAAAAACACAAAAGGAUGAUUUGCUUAAUUCAAGUUAAUUGUGUCAUCACGGAUAUUAUAUACUUAGACUCAUUUUGAAAAUUCGUAUUGAUUAUUUUUAAAAAUAAUAUUUAAAAAUAUAUUAAAAUAAUAUAUUUUUUAUUUUUUUAAAAUUUAUUUUUAACAUCAACACAUUAAAAUAAUAUAUAAAUAUUAAAAAAUUAAUUUAAAUAUAAAAAUUAAUUAUUUUAAAAAAAACUUUUAAAACGCAAAAACAGCUCUUAUUGACUGAGUUUUAACUAUGAUUUUUUCAAUAAAAAAGCAAAGCAAUAGAAAAGCCACUUAUAUAUAUAGUGUUUGGGAUUAUAGUAGUAGUUAUUUUUCAAAGUAAUUUUUACUUGGAAAUAUAUUAAAAUAAUAGAUUUUUUAUUUUUUAAAAUUUAUUUUUGACAUCAGCAUAUCAAAAUAAUUUAAAAUCAUAAAAAAUAAUUUAAAAUAAAUGAAAAAAUUUUAAAAGUGUUUUUGUUAACGAAAAACAAACUAACUCUUCAAUUUGGAUUUCAAACAACAUGUUACUUAGGAUAGCAUAAAUUAUUCAAUCUUUUCACACGUUAGAGUAGAGAAAAGGGAUUAUAAUUCAGUAAUUUCGAGCCUACGCUGCCUCUGACAAAAAUAUAAAAGCUAAUUGAUAUUAUCCAAACUCCCCCACCCUUGCACAUUACAUUUAAUGCACCGAAAGUUGACCAACAAUUAGAAACGGUGCGCACCAUUUCUUUCUGUGGAGAAGGAUGGGAUGCCCAGCCAACAAUAAAUAGGUUAGGUUGCAUCUCAAGCCUUUCAAAACACACCAUUUAGGAGAGACAAAAGGAGAGUAAUAUCCAAUGAAAUUAUAUGAGGUAUUUGUCAGAGAAGCUCUAAUUAAAAUGUUUACUUUUAUUAGAAGAGAAAUUAUUAAUUGUUUUUCUAUUAAUAAAAUAUUAUUGUAAUUUUUAUAUUAUAUAGUAAAAAUUUUCUCGUGUGUGUAUUAUUAUUUAUUUUCCUUGUUCUCUUAGAGUUGUGUAUUUUAUUUAGCAUGCCGGCAUUAUAGACUAAAAUUAAGUGUAAACUGGCAAAAGUGCCGUAAGCUUUUGGUAUUCUAGAUUUGUCGGCAGAUAACCUUUCCAUUUCUUUUUCUUUGUUUAAGUUAAAUUAAAUUGAUGUUCAUGUAAUUUAUAUUAUUUGGGCCUUUACAUCUUAUCCUCCGUGCUUUAUAGCAUUAUGGCAGGUCUGGUUUGUCUUAUGGAUUUUAUUUUCUAAUAUUAAUGAUGGUUUUUUUUUAUAUAUAAUAUUUAUGCCCUGCCAUUGAUUUUUCAAAUUAGCCCCUAAACUUCUAUUUCUUUUUUAUUUAGUUCCUACUUUUUUGUUAUAAUUUUUUUUAGAAUAAUUCAUUAAAUUAUAUUUUUCUUUUGAUUUUAUCUUCAUUUAAUUUUUUGUCUUGUCCAAUUUGAUCUAUAUUUUUUUUAUUACUAUUCUUUCUUCAGAUUCACCCUCUGUAAAUUUUUUUCAUAAUAGAUUUUUUUUUUUUUUGCUUUGUAAAAUUUUUAAAAGCAGUAAUUUUUUUACUCGAUUUAAUUUUUCAAUAUGUAAUUAGUUUGAAUUUAAGCUUGAUUAAACCCAUGUUUAAGACUUCACUAGUUGCAAGCUUUGAAAAUAACCUAACUUCUUGAGGUUUGCCUAAGACUUUUUAAGUUAAUAUAAUGAUAUAUAUGUUGGUAAUAUUAUUUUAUAGUUUAUUUGUUAUCAUUGUUUUAAGUUUAAAUUAGAUUAGUGGACUUCCCGAUUUUAUUAAAUCACAUUAAUGACUGAAGUUUUAAGUUUUCGUAUUUUUUUAUAAAUAUUACUGUUAUCUAAACAUCUUUUUCUUUUUGAUGGACCCGCGGCGCAGCACACCAGUGAUCUAUUGAUAUACUAAUAUUUCUUUAUUAGUAUAUCAAUAGAAAAAAUAUCUCACCCUCAUUUUUUGCAACAAAAAAAAGAAUGACAUCACCACAUUCCCGGCAACUGCCACCGGCCGCUUCAUCCGUAUUUGUAUGCUCAAAUUCGUGAACCAAAAAAGACGUUUGCAUCCGAGCCCCUGAUCUCUCUUAAAUGUUAUAUGAUCCCCCUUUCUCUACGAAAAUGGAAAAACUCUCCUCUUAUGCUGAUAUGAUAAAAUCCCCACCCGUCUGUUCUCUACAACUCUCAACACUCCAUUCCUCUUCAUUUACCCAUGACUGUUCUCAAAUUUACAAUCCCACUUCGCACGCAUCACUUGAAAUUAAAUGAAAGGUUGUUUACUCACAAGGUAAAUGUUCAGGUGUUCAGAUGGGUGCAGAAACAACGGUGGUAUGUAGCCGAUAAUGGUUGCUGUUAUUCAAAGUUGAUAUCAGUUAUGGGAAAGAAAGAUCAAACCCGGAUGGCUAUGUGGCUCUUUUCUGAGAUGCGUGACAGUGGAUGCCGGCCAGGUACUCCAGUCUACAAUGCACUCAUCACAGCUCAACUUCACUCUAAAGAUAAAACUAAGACUUUGACUAAAGGCUGGAUGCAUCCAAAUAAUUGAGGCAGAAAUUUCAUGCCAUUUUUAUUGACUUAUCAGAAGUCCGACUGCAGCAAAUCCCCAUCAAAAGAAUUGUAUCUUCGUUGAAUCAACAAUGACUUUGAUGAUCAAAGAUUGACGUAGAGAGGGCAGAUGGGCUAAACUAGUUUGGUUGAUUUUGAGGACCUGUUUAUGAAGUGGUGACUGUCUCGAAUCUAAGGUCCCUACAACCAAAUUUGGAUAGUCGUCAGCUUUAAUUGAGAAGAAAAGGCCCAACCCACCAGAACCAGCAGCUCUGGACUGGACUUAAGAGCUUGUUUAUCAUUGCCUUGAACUAUUAUUUUUUAUUAUUAUUUUUUAUUUUAUAAAUUAAUAUUUUUAUUGUUUGGUUGCUGAUCAAAAGAUUAAUAUCAUGUUUGAUUUUGCCCUCGAAACUCAGCGCUUUCCUUGUAAUUGUAGGGGGCAAAAUCAUCAGUGUAGUGUAGCAAUCCAUAAUAUACCGAGCCUUGAUUUGAAUCACUACGUACCAAAUGUAGCAAUCUAUUUAAUCGAACAGCAACAUAAUUAGACUCACCAGUCAAUUCUAAGAAAACUGAUAGAUUGUGAACUUGGAAUCCCUUAUGGUGGUCCAAUUGUUGCCGUAUUCUGAACUUGCUCCAAGCGAUCGCAGACCUCAACAAGUAAAAGGCCUUCAACACACUGAACGAAAAUUAGGCCUAGCUUUCAUCCUUUUCUUGCUAAUAUCUAACAGCGUUUAUAUUACCUCUGCAUUUGCAUUAUGAUGUCUUUUCAAACGACAAAAAAGGAACUUGCAUUUUGUGAGACACUGGCUUUGAUUGACACGAAAUGCAGUGGAUAGCAGGGGAAUACAUGGACGCAAGUACAAGCUCCUAAUUGAUCCAGAGAAAUACAAAUGCUUGAUACAUAUAAGCAAUUUGAAGGCUGAUGCAUCUUUCGGUAAGAAACCUGAACCUCUCUGUCCUCGGUGACCUUGUUUCCCCGCAUAGCUGCAAAUACACCACUUGCUAGAGACACAACUAUGCUGAAAAAUUUGUGGUUGCCAUGCAGAACCAGCUGCUAACAGAGGCAAUAGUACCCAGAAAAAAUGAAGCAUCUGAUUUCGAGAACAAAUUUAAAGCCUUCUACAUAAUGAGAUAACAUCAAUAAUUUACGAGAAUGAUAUAAUAUAUGAUAAAUGACCAUCAGUUAAAUGUCCAGGAGAGGUGAUGUAAGGGUUCUGAACGGUCAAAUGCGAAUCUUUUACUAUUGAACCACAUGAAAAGCCUUGCAUAUAUAUAUAUAUAUAUAUGUAUAUAGAUUAGUUGGAUAGGUCAAGCUCUGCAAGAAAGGAACAAAUUUCUUUUUUCCUCCUUUUCAAAUAAUUUUGAACAUGCUCUAAAAUUCAUUGUUUGCUGAAGGGUUAUAUGCAUUUCAAAGUAUUUUUGGUACACUGCAAGCUAAUGUGCCUGCUAUUUGACCCAAAAUAGAAAAUUUUAGAAGUAGAAUUCCUUUAGCAUGUCGCAGACAUCUCCCACCAGCACGCUAAAUUAUUUCAUCAUGUAACUUGACGUGAUAAAGGCAAGCCCUCCUGAGAUCCUUGAUGUAACUUUCUCUGCUACUUUCUCACUUUAACAUAUGAGGUAGCUUGGGGCUACAAGGGGAGGGGAAGAAUGGGGAAAACGGCAUUCAAGCUACGAUUAUACUGGUCCUUCGAUAUCUACUCAAUCAUUGUUGGGAAACCUUGAACAUGGGGACUGUCUUUCCACAAUUGACAACUCCUUCUAUGACAUCAGAUAUUUAAGGCUCUUAUGAUCCGUGAAAAUUUGAACCCGGGAUCUGUAUAAGUAGUGCCUCCAUACUCGUAAAGCAAAAACUACUACUGCCAAUUCUAAGUCAUAAACUGGGUAGUUGACUUCAUGAGUCAUCACUGUAGACUACAAAGCCUUCUGUUCCAGAUGGAAGGAUUAGUACAGGGGCAAUAGUAAGCUUUCUUUUCAAUUCUUGAAAGCUCUCAUCGCACUCAUUUGACCACUCCCAUCUUAUGUUCUUCCUAGUGAAUCAUGUCAAUGGAGUUGCUAUCGUUGAAAACCCUUUGAUAAACCUUCUAUAAUACCCUGCCAAUCCGAGAAAACUAUGAAUUUCAGUUACCGUAGUAGGCCUUUCCCAUCUCAAAACUGCUUUCACCUUCUAAGGAUCCACAAAAAUGCCUUUUGAAGAUACUACAUGCCCCUAAAGGUAACUUCUUUUAACCAGAAGUCACAUUUAUCCAACUUGGCAUACAACUGGCGGCUCCUUAGAGUCUGUAGUGUCUAUCUCAGGUGUUGUUCAUGUUCCUCAUAGGAUUUGGAGUAAACCAAGAUGUCAUCGAUGAAUACGACAACAAACUUAUCAAGGUAUGGUUGGAAUACUCGGUUCAUUAAAUCCAUAAAAAGUGCUGGAGCAUUAGUUAAUCCAAAAGGUAGCACCAAGAACUUGAAGUGUCCGUAGCAAGUUCUGAAGGCAAUUUUUGGCACAUCUUGCCCUCUGAUUCGCAUCUGGUAGAUUCCUGAUCUUAAAUCAAUCUUUGAGAAUACUUUAGCACCCUUUAACUGAUCGAAUAAAUCAUCUAUCCACGGAAGCGGAUAUUUAUUCUUUACCAUCACUUUAUUCAGCUGACGGGAAUCUAUGCAAAGCCUCAACGUUCCAUCUUUCUUCUUCACAAAUAAUACGGGUGCUCCUCAAGGUUAGUUGUUUAGUCAUAUGAACCCUUUGUCUAAAAGCUCCUACAAUUGAAUUUUCAACUCAUCCAAUUCUUUUGGGGCCAUUCUAUACUGUGGUUGGGCUAUAAGAGACACCUCAGGCAAUAUAUCGAUGGUGACUUCAACUUCUCUUUCUAGGGGUAGUCCUGGCAAUUCUUCCGGAAAUACGUUCGGAAAUUCCCUCAUAAUUGGAAUGUCAGACAGUCCUAUUUUACCCUUUUUUUAAAUUUAACACAUAGGCAAGGUAUGCUGUACAACCUUUCUUUAGUAGUUUUCUUGCAACUAUACCCGAGAUUAUAUUUGUAAAGUUGGAAAUUCUCUCCCCCUUGAAGACCAUUGUUUCACCCUUAUCCCCUUGGAAGGUUACUGUUUUUGUAAAGCAGUCUAGACGAGCCUUAUUUUUGCCCAACCAAUUCAUACCUAGAAUUAUAUCAAAAUCACUUAAUUCUAGGGGUAUUAAAUCUUCUUCUAGUUUACACCCAUUAAUGUUAAUUCCCACCCCUUCAAAUACAACAUUUGCUUCCACAGUUUCACCCAAAGGUGUCCCAAUAAUAAAUUCUUUUUCUACCCUUUUUGUUUCCUUACUCAAUUUGGUUACAUUUUUAUUUGCUAUAAAGGAGUGGGUGGCACCAGAAUCAAACAAAACAUACAUUUGAUAGUCAUUCAUUUGUAGCAUAUCUGCCACCACAUUUGAUGCUGCUCUGACAUCCUCCUGGGUCAUAUGGAAAACCUUUCCUUGAUCCCUUUCAUUUUGCACUCUGGGUCAUCACCUAUUUGAGUUAACUCCUGACUGAGUCGACCUUCCCGGUUUGUUUACUUUGAUGGACUGCUGAUGACUCUGACUUUGCUGCCUAUGUCUCUGAGGUUGUUGUCACUGGCCUGGAGUGAGGUUGGAGGUGGUCUGGGUAGUCGCCCUGAAGCUGAUGGCGGCGUCUGUAGAGGAGUCGCUGCUACUGCUGCCGAUACUGGAGAAGGAAGAAAACGAAAAUGGUG
Molecule: long non-coding RNA, 28819 nt
Filed under: Populus trichocarpa (black cottonwood)
Lineage: Eukaryota; Viridiplantae; Streptophyta; Magnoliopsida; Malpighiales; Salicaceae
Description: long non-coding RNA (PTRI_LNC001997)
Source: RNAcentral